AAUCAAAGUAGCGUCAAGUACUUCGACUACAAGGGGAGGGAAGCUUGGUAGACAGCUUCGCGUCCUCGCCGCUUCUUUCUGGCGACUAGCUUCUCAAGUGGGUGGCUUGGUAAGCAAGCCACCUUCAGUAUAGGUCAAAUCCCCCUCAAUAAUAGGCCGAAAUGGUGGGGAAGGAGGCCCCCCUACUUUAGUUCUGCUCAUCUAACUAAUGUACUAAUGUAAUUCCACGCAAAUAUGGUUGCCCGGAGAAUCCAU
This 255-nucleotide long non-coding RNA is filed under the name Vigna radiata. Its description in RNAcentral is "long non-coding RNA (VRAD_LNC008821)". Lineage: Eukaryota; Viridiplantae; Streptophyta; Magnoliopsida; Fabales; Fabaceae. The record is from RNAcentral.